This 69-nucleotide transfer RNA is filed under the name Ictidomys tridecemlineatus (thirteen-lined ground squirrel). RNAcentral describes it as "Spermophilus tridecemlineatus (thirteen-lined ground squirrel) tRNA". It matches the Rfam family "tRNA". Rfam says of the family: Transfer RNA (tRNA) molecules are approximately 80 nucleotides in length. Their secondary structure includes four short double-helical elements and three loops (D, anti-codon, and T loops). The record is from Rfam by way of RNAcentral. Lineage: Eukaryota; Metazoa; Chordata; Mammalia; Rodentia; Sciuridae.
GGUGUUGUGGUUUAGUGGUAGAGCGCUCGCCUAGCACUUGUGAGGUACUGGGUUCAAUCCUCAGCACCA